CGAGGGGCAUCGGGAGGAAGCUUGCUUUCCUUGCCGGCGACCGGCGCACGGGUGAGUAACACGUAUGCAACCUGCCCUCUUCAGGGGGACAACCUUCCGAAAGGGAGGCUAAUCCCGCGUAUAUCGGUUUCGGGCAUCCGAGAUCGAGGAAAGAUUCAUCGGAAGAGGAUGGGCAUGCGGCGCAUUAGCUAGACGGCGGGGUAACGGCCCACCGUGGCGACGAUGCGUAGGGGUUCUGAGAGGAAGGUCCCCCACACUGGUACUGAGACACGGACCAGACUCCUACGGGAGGCAGCAGUGAGGAAUAUUGGUCAAUGGGAGAGAUCCUGAACCAGCCAAGCCGCGUGAGGGAUGACGGUCCUAUGGAUUGUAAACCUCUUUUGUCAGGGAGCAAAGGGCGCCACGUGUGGCGUUUUGCGAGUACCUGAAGAAAAAGCAUCGGCUAACUCCGUGCCAGCAGCCGCGGUAAUACGGAGGAUGCGAGCGUUAUCCGGAUUUAUUGGGUUUAAAGGGUGCGCAGGCGGAAUGUCAAGUCAGCGGUAAAAUUUCGGGGCUCAACCCCGUCGUGCCGUUGAAACUGGCGUUCUUGAGUGAGCGAGAAGUAUGCGGAAUGCGUGGUGUAGCGGUGAAAUGCAUAGAUAUCACGCAGAACUCCGAUUGCGAAGGCAGCAUGCCGGCGCUCAACUGACGCUCAUGCACGAAAGCGUGGGUAUCGAACAGGAUUAGAUACCCUGGUAGUCCACGCAGUAAACGAUGAAUACUAACUGUCCGGGCAGAAUGAUGCCUGGGUGGUACAGCGAAAGCGUUAAGUAUUCCACCUGGGGAGUACGCCGGCAACGGUGAAAC
Molecule: ribosomal RNA, 846 nt
Filed under: uncultured bacterium
Lineage: Bacteria
Description: bacterial SSU rRNA
Rfam family: Bacterial small subunit ribosomal RNA
Source: RNAcentral